This 406-nucleotide ribosomal RNA is filed under the name uncultured bacterium. Its description in RNAcentral is "bacterial SSU rRNA". It matches the Rfam family "Bacterial small subunit ribosomal RNA", at positions 355 to 775 of the family's 1533-position model. The record is from RNAcentral.
UGGGGAAUAUUGGGCAAUGGGGGAAACCCUGACCCAGCAACGCCGCGUGAAGGACGAAGGCCUUCGGGUUGUAAACUUCUUUGAUCAGGGACGAAACAAAUGACGGUACCUGAGGAACAAGCCACGGCUAACUACGUGCCAGCAGCCGCGGUAAUACGUAGGUGGCAAGCGUUAUCCGGAUUUACUGGGUGUAAAGGGCGUGUAGGCGGUCUUGCAAGUCGGAAGUGAAGUUCCCAGGCUUAACCCGGGCGCUGCUCCCGAAACUGCGAGACUUGAGGACUGGAGAGGAUAGUGGAAUUCCUAGUGUAGCGGUAAAAUGCGUAGAUAUUAGGAGGAACACCAGUGGCGAAGGCGGCUAUCUGGACAGUAACUGACGCUGAGGCGCGAAAGCGUGGGGAGCAAACAG